RNAcentral lists this ribosomal RNA (2905 nucleotides) under Escherichia albertii. Its description in RNAcentral is "23S ribosomal RNA". It matches the Rfam family "Bacterial large subunit ribosomal RNA". Lineage: Bacteria; Pseudomonadati; Pseudomonadota; Gammaproteobacteria; Enterobacterales; Enterobacteriaceae. The record is from RNAcentral.
GGUUAAGCGACUAAGCGUACACGGUGGAUGCCCUGGCAGUCAGAGGCGAUGAAGGACGUGCUAAUCUGCGAAAAGCGUCGGUAAGGUGAUAUGAACCGUUAUAACCGGCGAUGUCCGAAUGGGGAAACCCAGUGUGUUUCGACACACUAUCAUUAACUGAAUCCAUAGGUUAAUGAGGCGAACCGGGGGAACUGAAACAUCUAAGUACCCCGAGGAAAAGAAAUCAACCGAGAUUCCCCCAGUAGCGGCGAGCGAACGGGGAGGAGCCCAGAGCCUGAAUCAGUGUGUGUGUUAGUGGAAGCGUCUGGAAAGGCGCGCGAUACAGGGUGACAGCCCCGUACACAAAAAUGCACAUGCUGUGAGCUCGAUGAGUAGGGCGGGACACGUGGUAUCCUGUCUGAAUAUGGGGGGACCAUCCUCCAAGGCUAAAUACUCCUGACUGACCGAUAGUGAACCAGUACCGUGAGGGAAAGGCGAAAAGAACCCCGGCGAGGGGAGUGAAAAAGAACCUGAAACCGUGUACGUACAAGCAGUGGGAGCCCUGAUUUAUCAGGGUGACUGCGUACCUUUUGUAUAAUGGGUCAGCGACUUAUAUUCUGUAGCAAGGUUAACCGAAUAGGGGAGCCGGAGGGAAACCGAGUCUUAACUGGGCGUUAAGUUGCAGGGUAUAGACCCGAAACCCGGUGAUCUAGCCAUGGGCAGGUUGAAGGUUGGGUAACACUAACUGGAGGACCGAACCGACUAAUGUUGAAAAAUUAGCGGAUGACUUGUGGCUGGGGGUGAAAGGCCAAUCAAACCGGGAGAUAGCUGGUUCUCCCCGAAAGCUAUUUAGGUAGCGCCUCGUGAAUUCAUCUCCGGGGGUAGAGCACUGUUUCGGCAAGGGGGUCAUCCCGACUUACCAACCCGAUGCAAACUGCGAAUACCGGAGAAUGUUAUCACGGGAGACACACGGCGGGUGCUAACGUCCGUCGUGAAGAGGGAAACAACCCAGACCGCCAGCUAAGGUCCCAAAGUCAUGGUUAAGUGGGAAACGAUGUGGGAAGGCCCAGACAGCCAGGAUGUUGGCUUAGAAGCAGCCAUCAUUUAAAGAAAGCGUAAUAGCUCACUGGUCGAGUCGGCCUGCGCGGAAGAUGUAACGGGGCUAAACCAUGCACCGAAGCUGCGGCAGCGACACUGUGUGUUGUUGGGUAGGGGAGCGUUCUGUAAGCCUGCGAAGGUGUGCUGUGAGGUAUGCUGGAGGUAUCAGAAGUGCGAAUGCUGACAUAAGUAACGAUAAAACGGGUGAAAAGCCCGCUCGCCGGAAGACCAAGGGUUCCUGUCCAACGUUAAUCGGGGCAGGGUGAGUCGACCCCUAAGGCGAGGCCGAAAGGCGUAGUCGAUGGGAAACAGGUUAAUAUUCCUGUACUUGGUGUUACUGCGAAGGGGGGACGGAGAAGGCUAUGUUGGCCGGGCGACGGUUGUCCCGGUUUAAGCGUGUAGGCUGGUUUUCCAGGCAAAUCCGGAAAAUCAAGGCUGAGGCGUGAUGACGAGGCACUACGGUGCUGAAGCGACAAAUGCCCUGCUUCCAGGAAAAGCCUCUAAGCAUCAGGUAACAUCAAAUCGUACCCCAAACCGACACAGGUGGUCAGGUAGAGAAUACCAAGGCGCUUGAGAGAACUCGGGUGAAGGAACUAGGCAAAAUGGUGCCGUAACUUCGGGAGAAGGCACGCUGAUAUGUAGGUGAAGCGACUUGCUCGUGGAGCUGAAAUCAGUCGAAGAUACCAGCUGGCUGCAACUGUUUAUUAAAAACACAGCACUGUGCAAACACGAAAGUGGACGUAUACGGUGUGACGCCUGCCCGGUGCCGGAAGGUUAAUUGAUGGGGUCAGCGCAAGCGAAGCUCUUGAUCGAAGCCCCGGUAAACGGCGGCCGUAACUAUAACGGUCCUAAGGUAGCGAAAUUCCUUGUCGGGUAAGUUCCGACCUGCACGAAUGGCGUAAUGAUGGCCAGGCUGUCUCCACCCGAGACUCAGUGAAAUUGAACUCGCUGUGAAGAUGCAGUGUACCCGCGGCAAGACGGAAAGACCCCGUGAACCUUUACUAUAGCUUGACACUGAACACUGGUCCUUGAUGUGUAGGAUAGGUGGGAGGCUUUGAAGUGUGGACGCCAGUCUGCAUGGAGCCGUCCUUGAAAUACCACCCUUUAAUGGCUGGUGUUCUAACGUGGGCCCGUAAUCCGGGUUGCGGACAGUGUCUGGUGGGUAGUUUGACUGGGGCGGUCUCCUCCUAAAGAGUAACGGAGGAGCACGAAGGUUGGCUAAUCCUGGUCGGACAUCAGGAGGUUAGUGCAAUGGCAUAAGCCAGCUUGACUGCGAGCGUGACGGCGCGAGCAGGUGCGAAAGCAGGUCAUAGUGAUCCGGUGGUUCUGAAUGGAAGGGCCAUCGCUCAACGGAUAAAAGGUACUCCGGGGAUAACAGGCUGAUACCGCCCAAGAGUUCAUAUCGACGGCGGUGUUUGGCACCUCGAUGUCGGCUCAUCACAUCCUGGGGCUGAAGUAGGUCCCAAGGGUAUGGCUGUUCGCCAUUUAAAGUGGUACGCGAGCUGGGUUUAGAACGUCGUGAGACAGUUCGGUCCCUAUCUGCCGUGGGCGCUGGAGAACUGAGGGGGGCUGCUCCUAGUACGAGAGGACCGGAGUGGACGCAUCACUGGUGUUCGGGUUGUCAUGCCAAUGGCACUGCCCGGUAGCUAAAUGCGGAAGAGAUAAGUGCUGAAAGCAUCUAAGCACGAAACUUGCCCCGAGAUGAGUUCUCCCUGAGACUUAGAGUCUCCUGAAGGAACGUUGAAGACGACGACGUUGAUAGGCCGGGUGUGUAAGCGCAGCGAUGCGUUGAGCUAACCGGUACUAAUGAACCGUGAGGCUUAACCUU